Molecule: ribosomal RNA, 700 nt
Filed under: uncultured bacterium
Lineage: Bacteria
Description: bacterial SSU rRNA
Rfam family: Bacterial small subunit ribosomal RNA
Source: RNAcentral
AGAGUUUGAUCCUGGCUCAGAUUGAACGCUGGCGGAAUGCUUUACACAUGCAAGUCGAACGGCAGCACGGGGGCAACCCUGGUGGCGAGUGGCGAACGGGUGAGUAACACAUCGGAACGUGCCCAAUCGUGGGGGAUAACGUAGCGAAAGCUACGCUAAUACCGCAUACGAUCUACGGAUGAAAGCGGGGGAUCGCAAGACCUCGCGCGAAUGGAGCGGCCGAUGGCAGAUUAGGUAGUUGGUGGGGUAAAGGCUCACCAAGCCAACGAUCUGUAGCUGGUCUGAGAGGACGACCAGCCACACUGGGACUGAGACACGGCCCAGACUCCUACGGGAGGCAGCAGUGGGGAAUUUUGGACAAUGGGCGCAAGCCUGAUCCAGCCAUUCCGCGUGCAGGAUGAAGGCCUUCGGGUUGUAAACUGCUUUUGUACGGAACGAAACGGCCCUUUCUAAUACAGAGGGCUAAUGACGGUACCGUAAGAAUAAGCACCGGCUAACUACGUGCCAGCAGCCGCGGUAAUACGUAGGGUGCAAGCGUUAAUCGGAAUUACUGGGCGUAAAGCGUGCGCAGGCGGUUAUGUAAGACAGUUGUGAAAUCCCCGGGCUCAACCUGGGAACUGCAUCUGUGACUGCAUAGCUAGAGUACGGUAGAGGGGGAUGGAAUUCCCGCGUGUAGCAAUGAAAUGCCGCAAAUAUGCGG